ACCCAAGUGAGGGAGGAAGACCUGGACGACCCGGAUUUAAUGGAAUGAGUGGUGAUCCGGGAUUUCCAGGUUUGCCAGGUGAUAAAGGGCCUUUUGGGAUGCCUGGAAUGCAAGGAAUGAGGGGCAAGAGAGGUAAGGA
Molecule: long non-coding RNA, 139 nt
Organism: Saccostrea echinata
Lineage: Eukaryota; Metazoa; Mollusca; Bivalvia; Ostreida; Ostreidae
Exons: 3
Source: RefSeq, a predicted model, not a curated record